GCCAGACGUGGUGGCACACACCUGUAAUCCCAGCAGCUUGGGAGGCUGAGACAGGAGGAUCUCAGGUUUCAAGCCAGCCUCAGCAAUGGCAAGGUGCUAAGCAACUCAGUGAGACCCUGUCUCUA
Molecule: small RNA, 125 nt
Filed under: Marmota monax (woodchuck)
Lineage: Eukaryota; Metazoa; Chordata; Mammalia; Rodentia; Sciuridae
Source: RNAcentral